CUACGGGAGGCUGCAGUGGGGAAUAUUGCACAAUGGAGGAAACUCUGAUGCAGCAACGCCGCGUGGAGGAUGACACUUUUCGGAGCGUAAACUCCUUUUAUAUAGGAAGAUAAUGACGGUACUAUAUGAAUAAGCACCGGCUAACUCCGUGCCAGCAGCCGCGGUAAUACGGAGGGUGCAAGCGUUACUCGGAAUCACUGGGCGUAAAGAGCGUGUAGGCGGGUUAAUAAGUCAGAAGUGAAAUCCUAUGGCUCAACCAUAGAACUGCUUUUGAAACUGUUAACCUAGAGUGUGGGAGAGGUAGAUGGAAUUUCUGGUGUAGGGGUAAAAUCCGUAGAGAUCAGAAGGGAUACCGAUUGCGAAGGCGAUCUACUGGAACAUAACUGACGCUGAGACGCGAAAGCGUGGGGAGCAAACAGGAUUAGAUACCCGGGUAGUC
This 439-nucleotide ribosomal RNA is filed under the name uncultured bacterium. RNAcentral's name for it is "partial 16S ribosomal RNA". It matches the Rfam family "Bacterial small subunit ribosomal RNA", at positions 339 to 795 of the family's 1533-position model. The record is from RNAcentral.